Molecule: long non-coding RNA, 2239 nt
Organism: Peromyscus maniculatus bairdii (prairie deer mouse)
Lineage: Eukaryota; Metazoa; Chordata; Mammalia; Rodentia; Cricetidae
Source: RefSeq, a predicted model, not a curated record
CGAGGUUCCAUCCUGUCCCCUGAACCAAACGGCAGAGGCGGCAAAGGGACCCCUGGCAGGAACCAUGUCAUACCAGUUCCAGAAGAAAAGGGCAAGUCACUGCGCUCAGUCAAUGCAGGCGGUACUGAGAGCUUGAUCCAGCGUCCAGAUCCCCUCGUUAGCAAUUUCCUUCAUCAUAUGCAACCCUGGGAGACUGUCUUGAGAGGUAUUUUAUCACAGUGACUGAAGCCUGUGACUAACCCAUAGCAUACCAGAACACGGCCCGGGACCAGCAAUGGGUGAGACUCCCAGGAGCUACAGCCAUUUUCGUUCAUCUGUGAGCAUUGGGUAAAGUCUGACACGAGUGUUCUUGAACAAUGGAACAUUUUCUUUCAAGUUGUAAAUCAAGGACCCAAUUCCUCCUCUCCCUUUAGCAUCUGCCUUCUAGAAAAGCCGCCAUUCAUCUGGAGGGAACGGAAGAGGAGGAAACGCAGGACAUGGCUACAGUCCAACUAAUUUGAUAAAGGAAGGCUAUGAACAGAAAGUCCAUGAAUCCAGAAGUUCCUCAGUCCACAAGGCUGGAUGUCUCAGCUGCCCUUCGGUAGAUGCUGAAAUUCCAAAGAAGAAUUUCUGUGCCAGUGAAGGAAUUGACUUGCUAGCAAGGCCAGAGAAAGCAAGCAAAGAGCAAAAGCUUCCUUCUUCCACAUCUGUAUAUUGGUUUCCAGCAGAAGGUGUGGCCCAGAUUAAACAUGUGUCUUCCCACCUCAAGAUCCUGAUCAAAGAAUGUACACUGUCUAUAUCCCCAUACUCUCUGGUCAAGAGGACAGCUAACUUUCCAGAGCUUCAGGACCCUUGAGAGACAUCCUACAUUUCCUGGGAGUAAACUGACAUUGGAAGGCAAGGGCCAAAAUAUUGGUCCUCUUGGCCCCCAAGUAUGCUUACUGAACAGCCAGAAGACAACAGGGAUCGGAGACCCUGGUGACGAGAGGAAGGAAGAGCAAAUACAGCCUGUCCUCUGCCCGCCGUAUUGAAGAUCGCCCUGCACACAGAAAUCCGUAAUGUCGAGAGCUACAAAUAAGACAUUAAGUGCUGAAAUCCCUUUUGUGGCAAAGAAAAGGAUUAAGUGUCGGCGACAAGAGUAGGUGACUGGAAAAUGCUGGACUCUUUGGCUGCAGCUCUCUGCUUUUCUUGAAAGAAAUAUGUCUUGUUUGGAUGGCUGGGUGUUGUGGUUUAACUCGGCAAGCCAAAAAUCUGGUGAGGGAAAUGAAAGUCAUGUUGGGAGGACUUUUGAUUGAGCCAAGAGUGAGAAGACAUUUGUCCGGAGUCGUUCACCACAUCCCCAAAGAGAGCACACAAUUUCUUCCUUUGAGGUGCCAUAAGAAAGAGAACCUUUUUACUUAGGAAGGAAAAUUUGAUUUCAAGAGUUUGAACAUCAACGGAUUCAUUCCAACCAUAUUUUGAUGAGAAUCUCACUGGCCUCAAACUAGCUAAGAAGACCAGGCUGGCUGGCCCAUGGGCCCUGGAGAUCCAUCCACCUCUGCCUCACCAGCACUGGAAAUUCAAUACAUACCACCAUGCCUAUUUUUUGUUUGUUUGCUUGUAUUUUAACACGGGGUUGAACUCAGGUCCUCAAUCUUCCAAGGCAGGCACCUCACCGUCAGAGCCAUCAAUCCAUCCAGAAGCUGACCCUUUUGUGAACAGCCAAUUGUGGAAAAGCAGUCCACACAGGGUCGGGGAAACUUACAAUGUCGAAUACACAAUGACCUCACACAGAUCAUUAAAAAACGUCAGCAUCCUAGACAAAGUCCCAAAGACUCUCUGAAAAUCCUCUUUUCUUCCCUGUGACAACCCACAAUCACAAGUAUGUGAGUCAGGUCUCCCUAGGUUAUGCUGAUCCAGGGGUUAGAGGUUUGUAAGAACAAGAGGGUUAUUUCUUAUUUGUAAUUUAUUACAUUCGCUGUGGGGAGUCUGAAGUCUUUUCCACAUAGGUAGGAUACAGGGAAGAACAAAAGCCCCUACACAGGCCACUUCAUCCUUGAGGCAACGGGAAAGAAAUCACUCAUAAAAACCACACAUUGCUUCUUCCAACCUCUGCCUACAAGUAGUAUAAGCAACAUCUACUUGUAGUUGAUGGGUCAAAGAAAGUCACAAGUCUAAGUCUGGCAUUAGAGAAGAAAGUAAUUCCCACGGGGAGUGAGUUGCAUCAGGGGGCUGUCCUAUAGGGUAGUUCUAUCUAAAUAAAGGUCCUAUCUUUUGUUUA